CCCGUGGGAAAUCUAGAGCUAAUACAUGCGUUCAAAUUAUGGGGUACUGAGCAAUCAGUGCCUCAUAAAGCAUUUAUUGGUUAAAACCAACUACUGGUGUGUGUAAAAGCAUAUCAGUGUGGAUGAAUCUAGAUAACUUUGCUGAUCGUAGUGGCGUAAUUGCCGGCGACGUUUCAGUUGAAUUUCUGCCCUAUCAAUUGGUUGGUAAGGUAGUGGCUUACCAAGGUUGUAACGGGUAACGGGGGAUCAGGGUUCGAUUCCGGAGAGGGAGCCUGAGAAACGGCUACCACAUCCAAGGAAGGCAGCAGGCGCGCAAAUUACCCAAUCCAGACAGUGGGAGGUGGCGACGAGAAUUACUGAGUGGUAGCCUUAAUGGUUAUCGACUUAGAAUGAACGUGAUUUAAGAAAUCCGUUGAGUAACAACUGGAGGGCAAGUCUGGUGCCAGCAGCCGCGGUAAUUCCAGCUCCAGUAGCGUACCUCAAAGUUGCUGCGUUUAAAACGCUCGUAGUUGGAUCACAUGGUUAGGCCUAGUGAAUUAGCGUGUUAGUACGCUAAAUCCUCAAGUGUAGAUGUGACGGUGUGUUAUCGCCGUUGCAGUUUAUAUGUUGUGGAGUACUGCACGUUGAUUGUUAGCUAGGCUUAACUGAUUGCGUAUGGGGAUAGCAGUUGACCUUAAGUGAGUCGAUUGUUGUGUCCCAUAGAGUGUGCCUUGAAUAAAACAGAGUGCUCAAAGCAGGCUUGAUGCCUGAAUGUUAACAGCAUGGAACGAACAAUUGUGGCAACAUGAUAUUGUCGCAACUGGCAAUGUACUUAUUUGUAUGUUGUCAUGUUGUGGCAGUAUCAUAGCAC
This 850-nucleotide ribosomal RNA is filed under the name Raabeia sp. EE-2005. Its description in RNAcentral is "bacterial SSU rRNA". It matches the Rfam family "Eukaryotic small subunit ribosomal RNA", at positions 146 to 905 of the family's 1831-position model. The record is from RNAcentral. Lineage: Eukaryota; Metazoa; Cnidaria; Myxozoa.